GCAAUUGUGAGAGGAAGAAGAAAAGGUGGAGAGAGAAAACAAAAAGAGAAAAAAAUAAGAAAAAAAGAAGUAAACGAAUAGGGGGACAUAGGUCGCCACUAAAGUUAAGGUGUGUAAAUGAUUUUUCCGGACAAGUUUGAUGGGUAAUUUAUGUAUUAUCUCUUAAAAAAAUAGUGGAAUGAGAAAACUAAUAGAGUCGCAUCUUGUCGAGGCAACUUGGAUGGCCGAUGAUAUCAUGCAAGCGGUUUUGCAGCCAUGGCCGACCUGAUUUUGGCUUCAAUAUGCGAUACUCGACUCACGCCACAAAAGGCAAUUAGGAGCAGAAAAUUAGAAAGAGGAAGAAGAAUUUUGUAUGCAAAGAAACAAAGAAAGAGGAAAAGGGAAGAAGAAGAGGAGAUGUGGCAGAAGAUGAAGAAAAGAGGGGAAGGUGAGAGAAAGGCUAAGGUAUGGAAUGGUACAACCCCUUUUCUCUGUAAUAUUAGGUCAAAAUUCGAUUUUAUUUCUCUCUGUAUAUAAAUAACACAUAUUUGUAUAAUCACUCCUUAAAUUUCACUCCUCGAAUUCCCCAAACCCCAAUUUCUAGUUUUUGUUCCCUAAGUAAUUGUAAUCAAAAUUCUAUUUUGUUUCUCUCUUUGUAAUCAAUUUCUAGAUUGGGGCAUACACAGGUGAGAGAAGGUACAGGGUAAUUGGAGACGAGAAAGAACUCACCGGCGAGAAUUCCCGGUGGUCGGAGGAAACGGGAAAAGCAUGAUGAUUUUUAUGUUUGAAUUUUAUUUUUAUUUUUUAUUUUAAUUAUUUUUAAUCUACCAUGUGACAUGGCAUCUACAAAUUAUUAUUUUCUGACGUGGCAGCCAACGUGGAGGAGAUUGUAUCACACGCACGGACAGCCUCCUGUCAUAAGCGUUUAUUAUAUACGGUUUGAAGGAAUGUAAGGGUUCAAUUGGCAAAUUGUUAAGUUUGGGGACCGGCAUGACAAAAUGACACAAGUAUAGGUGCCAUUUAGGCCAUUCUGCCUUUCAAUCUCUCAUCUUUCUCAACACUUUAUGUCUUGAAUAUACACCUUUUGAAGCA
Molecule: long non-coding RNA, 1071 nt
Organism: Nicotiana attenuata
Lineage: Eukaryota; Viridiplantae; Streptophyta; Magnoliopsida; Solanales; Solanaceae
Exons: 2
Source: RefSeq, a predicted model, not a curated record